This 503-nucleotide ribosomal RNA is filed under the name uncultured Comamonas sp. Its description in RNAcentral is "bacterial SSU rRNA". It matches the Rfam family "Bacterial small subunit ribosomal RNA", at positions 11 to 507 of the family's 1533-position model. Lineage: Bacteria; Pseudomonadati; Pseudomonadota; Betaproteobacteria; Burkholderiales; Comamonadaceae. The record is from RNAcentral.
UUUAGAUCCUGGCGUCAGAUUGUAACGCUGGCGGCAUGCUUUACACAUGCAAGUCGAACGGCAGCACGGACUUCGGUCUGGUGGCGAGUGGCGAACGGGUGAGUAAUACAUCGGAACGUGCCCAGUUGUGGGGGAUAACUACUCGAAAGAGUAGCUAAUACCGCAUGAGAACUGAGGUUGAAAGCAGGGGAUCGUAAGACCUUGCGCAACUGGAGCGGCCGAUGGCAGAUUAGGUAGUUGGUGGGAUAAAAGCUUACCAAGCCGACGAUCUGUAGCUGGUCUGAGAGGACGACCAGCCACACUGGGACUGAGACACGGCCCAGACUCCUACGGGAGGCAGCAGUGGGGAAUUUUGGACAAUGGGCGAAAGCCUGAUCCAGCAAUGCCGCGUGCAGGAUGAAGGCCUUCGGGUUGUGAACUGCUUUUGUACGGAACGAAAAGCUUCGGGUUAAUACCCUGGAGUCAUGACGGUACCGUAAGAAUAAGCACCGGCUAACUACGUG